GGAGGGAUCUGGCUGUACUCACCUGCACUGGGAUGUCCCGUUGUCCCAGCACCACCUGCCAAAGGGCCUGUCCUCUUCCCCUUGAAUGAAUGGUCUCGGCGACCUACCCUUUCCCCAGGCGGGUUUGUGCUCCAACCCUCCACCAGCCUGCUCACACAUCCCUCUGCCCCAGUCCUGAUACUGACUCGACUUUCUGGGUGGCAGUCCUCACCCACUCUGCCCACCCUUCUGCAGGCAGCUCAGAUCCUAGCGAUCAAGAAGUCUUUGCAAUUAAGCUCCUCUUCUCCCAUUUCUUUGUCUGUCUGUCUGCCUCUGUCAUGGUCAUUUGGUAAACCCAACCCCUUGCUGUCUCACCCCAUGGCUGUGGGCUGAGGACUACCCCGGGAUGGUCGCCCUGCUGCAUCACCCCAGUGUGCUCAUCCCCUGGACUCUGCUCUCUCAGGAGACGACCCUGUCGCCUUCUCAUUCACGACACAGGGACUCACGCCAAAGACUUCAAGAAAAGUUGCAAGAAUAACUCAAAGAAUACCAUACACCUGCUCCUGAUUCCCCAAAAGCUUCUGCCUCUCUCCAUCACACACAUUUUCUUCUGGACCGUCAAGGCCGGAACCGAGAACUGGCCCCACUGUGAACCUGAAGGCUUAUUUUGCUGACGCUCACUGGAAGGAAGUGUCUGGAGGCCUGAGAGCUUAUGCCCUGUCUCCCUGUCUCCCCUGAGGCCGCAGGACAAAGUGAGACCGAAGCCCAGGGUGGCGGGUCUGUAUGGUCGCCUCACUCCUGGAGGAAUGAGUGGCUGUCACAGAGAUGAGGACCACUGUCGCAGAGCUUGCGGGGCCUGAGAAGCAUCACCUCUAUCGUAUAGAUGGGAAAACUGAGGCCUAGGGCAAGUGUGACACAAGCCCAAAUCACAGAGCAGAGGAGCAGCACCAUGGAGCACAGAUUCCUGGACUCAGAGGGUCGCCACCACCCCACCCGGCCUCUGGGGGCCUGCCCCCAGUCCCAGCUUUUCAGUCAAAGCCCCAAGGGGUCCCACGUCCUUGGGACUGAAUGCUGGUCACACAGAAGCAGGUAGACAUGAGCUCUGCCCUCAGGGAGACGGGGUCCAGGAACACUGAGUGAGCACCACUGCAUACAGCCAGGACACCAAAGAGAUGUCAUUUCCAGUCCACAUUCAGCCAAGUGUCUCCAAGUGUUGGAAGGUGUCCUGGAGACCACAUGCCCCGUCGGAGCCACACUCCAUCAUGCACCAGCUGUGAGCCUUGAGCAAAUGAUCCACCUGAGAUGCCAUUUCCUCACCUGUAAAGUGGAGGUGACAGUGCCAAUCUUACCAGUGAGGCCCAGAGUGACCGGCAAGGGGUCUGUGCCGUGCUGCCCACCCAGGGUCCAGUGAACAGCAGCACAGCCUCCUGUCGGCUGCUCCCCAGAAGCCCCACCACCCCGUCCCAGUGCCCAUCUUCUUUGGGCCACAGGACCCCCAGGCCCAUCCCCCACCCUGGGGACAUGCCUGUGUGAUGAUGACACCAUGACUCCAGCCCAGCCCCCGGCUCUCAGGGCCAGGACGGGGGUUGGGGGAGGAGGGUCAGGCACCUCCCCACAACUAGAGAGGCUCCAGCCCACUCUGUCAACCUGCUUGUCAACCGUCUCUCUUGUCCUGUUUCUGGCUCUCUUUCAAGGUGGGAGAAAUAACUAUUAUUUUUAGGCAACCCACUAUUAUUAUUGUUGAUUGCAUCUAAUUAUAAAAGCUAUACAUUCUCAUUGUGGAUAAUUCAGAAAGUCGCAAAGAGUACACAGAAAUUUCUUUAAAGUCAUCCCCUCAAGGUAGGUUAAUUGGUUUGUGCACCUCCUGACCACCAGAACUUGUGGAGGUGAACUUAUUUUGAAAAUGUUUCUUUGCAGGUGUGAUUAAGUUAAAGAUCUCAACGUGCCCUCAUCCUGGAUUACCUGGGUGGGCCCUAAACCCGACGACAAGUGUCCUUAUAAAAGACACACAGAGAAGGAGGCAGAGGCCGCAUGACCACAGAGGUCAGAUGGAGGGAUGCCUAGGAGCUGGGAGAGGCCGGAAGGAGCCUCCCCUGGUGCCCCCGGAGGGACCCCCACCCCCACCUCGGUUUGGAUUCCAGCCUCCAGUCUGAGAGAAUGAGUUUCUCUGUUUUCAGCCACCCUGUUUGCGGUGAUUUGUUACAGUGACCCGGGGAACUGACCAAUCCUGACCCCGACCCCAGCAGUCAGGGGAGUCCUGUGGAUGAUGGGGUUAUUGUCCUCUGGUUGUGAGUCCUGGAGUGCGUGGGUGCAUGUGCAUGCAUGUGAGUGUGCCAGAGUGUGGGUGUGUUCACGGUACUGCUACACCUUACAGCAUCUUCACUUUAAAAAAUGAUUUUGGGGCACCUCCAUCACUUAAUCAUUUAAGUGUCCGACUCCUGAUAUCAGCUCAGGUCAGGGUCGUGGGAUUGGGCCCUGAGUCUGGCUCUGUGCUCAGCAGGGCGUCUGCUUGAGAUUCUCU
Canis lupus familiaris (dog) is the source of this 2500-nucleotide long non-coding RNA. RefSeq lists it as uncharacterized. The transcript has 4 exons. The record is from RefSeq and is a predicted model, not a curated record. NCBI's taxonomy places the organism in Eukaryota, Metazoa, Chordata, Mammalia, Carnivora, Canidae.